RNAcentral lists this ribosomal RNA (578 nucleotides) under uncultured bacterium. RNAcentral's name for it is "bacterial SSU rRNA". It matches the Rfam family "Bacterial small subunit ribosomal RNA", at positions 338 to 918 of the family's 1533-position model. The record is from RNAcentral.
CCUACGGGAGGCAGCAGUGAGGAAUAUUGGACAAUGGAGGAGACUCUGAUCCAGCCAUGCCGCGUGUAGGAAGAAUGCCCUAUGGGUUGUAAACUACUUUUAUACAGGAAGAAACACUGGUAUGUAUACCAGCUUGACGGUACUGUAAGAAUAAGGACCGGCUAACUCCGUGCCAGCAGCCGCGGUAAUACGGAGGGUCCGAGCGUUAUCCGGAAUCAUUGGGUUUAAAGGGUCCGCAGGCGGUCGAUUAAGUCAGAGGUGAAAUCCCAUAGCUCAACUAUGGAACUGCCUUUGAUACUGGUUGACUUGAGUCAUAUGGAAGUAGAUAGAAUGUGUAGUGUAGCGGUGAAAUGCAUAGAUAUUACACAGAAUACCGAUUGCGAAGGCRGUCUACUACGUAUGUACUGACGCUGAGGGACGAAAGCGUGGGGAGCGAACAGGAUUAGAUACCCUGGUAGUCCACGCCGUAAACGAUGGAUACUAGUUGUUGGGAUUUAUCUCAGUGACUAAGCGAAAGUGAUAAGUAUCCCACCUGGGGAGUACGGUCGCAAGACUGAAACUCAAAGGAAUUGACGGGG